CUACUCUUGACAUCCAAAGAACUAUAUAGAGAUAUAUAGGUGCCUUCGGGAGCUUUGAGACAGGUGCUGCAUGGCUGUCGUCAGCUCGUGUUGUGAAAUGUUGGGUUAAGUCCCGCAACGAGCGCAACCCUUAUCCUUUGUUGCCAGCGAGUUAAGUCGGGAACUCAAGGGAGACUGCCGGUGACAAACCGGAGGAAGGUGGGGAUGACGUCAAGUCAUCAUGGCCCUUACGAGUAGGGCUACAGACGUGCUACAAUGGUGCAUACAAAGAGAAGCAAUCUUGUGAAAGUAAGCGAAUCUCAUAAAGUGCAUCUUAGUCCGGAUUGGAGUCUGCAACUCGACUCCAUGAAGUCGGAAUCGCUAGUAA
This 367-nucleotide ribosomal RNA is filed under the name endosymbiont of Echinopla pallipes. RNAcentral describes it as "bacterial SSU rRNA". It matches the Rfam family "Bacterial small subunit ribosomal RNA", at positions 975 to 1341 of the family's 1533-position model. The record is from RNAcentral. Lineage: Bacteria; Pseudomonadati; Pseudomonadota; Gammaproteobacteria; Enterobacterales; Enterobacteriaceae.